Molecule: ribosomal RNA, 497 nt
Filed under: uncultured bacterium
Lineage: Bacteria
Description: partial 16S ribosomal RNA
Rfam family: Bacterial small subunit ribosomal RNA
Source: RNAcentral
GAUGAACGCUGGCGGCGUGCCUAAUACAUGCAAGUCGAGCGAACAGACGAGGAGCUUGCUCCUUCGACGUUAGCGGCGGACGGGCGAGUAACACGUAGGUAACCUACCUAUAAGACUGGGAUAACUUCGGGAAACCGGAGCUAAUACCGGAUAAUAUUUCGAACCGCAUGGUUCGAUAGUGAAAGAUGGCUUUGCUAUCACUUAUAGAUGGACCUGCGCCGUAUUAGCUAGUUGGUAAGGUAACGGCUUACCAAGGCAACGAUACGUAGCCGACCUGAGAGGGUGAUCGGCCACACUGGAACUGAGACACGGUCCAGACUCCUACGGGAGGCAGCAGUAGGGAAUCUUCCGCAAUGGGCGAAAGCCUGACGGAGCAACGCCGCGUGAGUGAUGAAGGUCUUCGGAUCGUAAAACUCUGUUAUUAGGGAAGAACAAACGUGUAAGUAACUGUGCACGUCUUGACGGUACCUAAUCAGAAAGCCACGGCUAACUACGUG